This 116-nucleotide transfer RNA is filed under the name archaeon. RNAcentral describes it as "tRNA-Leu". It matches the Rfam family "tRNA". From Rfam's summary of the family: Transfer RNA (tRNA) molecules are approximately 80 nucleotides in length. Their secondary structure includes four short double-helical elements and three loops (D, anti-codon, and T loops). The record is from RNAcentral. RNAcentral also lists the same sequence under 2 other names.
GCAGGGGUCGCCCAGCCUGGUCAAAGAAUCUAUGCUACGUAUAGUAUUCGGCAAGAGGCGGUGGACUCAAGAUCCACUCUCGUAGGAGUUCGGGGGUUCGAAUCCCCUCCCCUGCA